This 504-nucleotide ribosomal RNA is filed under the name uncultured bacterium. RNAcentral's name for it is "bacterial SSU rRNA". It matches the Rfam family "Bacterial small subunit ribosomal RNA", at positions 8 to 526 of the family's 1533-position model. The record is from RNAcentral.
AGAGUUUGAUCCUGGCUCAGAACGAACGCUAGCGGGAUGCCUCAAACAUGCAAGUCGCACGCGAAAGUCUUCGGACAAGUAGAGUGGCGCACGGGUGAGUAACACGUAGUUAACGUACCUCUUCGCUGGGGAUAACUCCGGGAAACCGGAGCUAAUACCGAAUGAUCUGAUAGGGUCUGCGGACCUUAUCGGUAAAGCCGUAAGGCGCGAAGAGAUCGGGCUGCGGUCUAUUAGCUAGUUGGUGGGGUAAUGGCCUACCAAGGCAACGAUAGAUAGCUGGUCUGAGAGGAUGAUCAGCCACACUGGAACUGAAACACGGUCCAGACUCCCACGGGAGGCAGCAGUUGGGAAUUGUGGACAAUGGGCGUAAGCCUGAUCCAGCAAUCCCGCGUGAGUGACGAAGGUCUUCGGAUCGUAAAGCUCUUUUGGUUGGGAAGAAGGGAAACUUGACUGUACCAACAGAAAAAGCACCGGCUAGCUCUGUGCCAGCAGCCGCGGUAAUUC